CUCCCCUUCUAGGAGAGGCCAAGGGUCAGGAGCAGGAGGAGGGACGUCUUCCAGAUGCAGAGAGUUUACGAGGCAAUGGGGACAUAAGGGAGCCAACCUCAGCCACCUUCCGCUUCCCGCAGAAAAUGGUCAGAGGACGACGCUUCAACCCACCUUUAGACAAGGACGGAAGAUGGUUCCCUCAGAUUGGACUAGCGCAGAAGACACCAGAAUCCAUCACAAGUGCUAUGUUGAAAGAACCCCACAGCCCACGUGUGUCUCAGCAAGUGGAGGGGAGGCUGCCCCCAAUCUACAAGGUUCGAGAGAAGCAAGCGGUAGAUAACAACUUCCCCUUCUCCGUACACGACAACCGCUACAGCUUUCAGAGCUCUGGAUGCUACCUUGACUCUGGCCUGGGACGUAGGAAGAUCUCCCCAGAGAAAAGGCAACACGUUUCAAGAAAUUUCAAUCUGUGGGCAUGUGACUAUGUCCCAUCUUAUCUUGAUGGCUUUUCAAAUAACCAAAUAUCUUAUGUCUGUCAAGAAAUCGUGGUGGUCCCAAUUUUCAGACGCUUCCCAAAGCAUUAUAAUGAGAUAUGGAACUCUUUUAAAUUUAUUCCUCAGAGAAGCUAUACAGAGUUUAUGAAAAAGAAUCCCAAAUUCAAACAAUACAGAGGAACCAGAAGUCCCCCUUGAUUUCAUCACAUCUCCGAUCCUUGUCCUGUCCCCAGAAUAACAACUGCACUUACGAAUGUGUCUUUGAAGUUUCAAAACGUACAGCGUGGUGGUUCAACGCUCCUGUACGACACCCGGUGCUCAUCACAGCAAGUGCGGUCCUUAGACCCCAUCACCAUUCCACCAUUCCCCCUGCUCGCCUCCCCCUGGUAACCACCACUUUGUUCUCUAGAGUUAAGAGUCUGUUUCUUGGUU
This is an RNA transcript of Prionailurus viverrinus (fishing cat), 908 nucleotides long. It is a transcript of the gene named testis expressed 36, with no coding region annotated. NCBI's taxonomy places the organism in Eukaryota, Metazoa, Chordata, Mammalia, Carnivora, Felidae. The record is from RefSeq and is a predicted model, not a curated record. The transcript has 7 exons.